This 263-nucleotide long non-coding RNA is filed under the name Nicotiana benthamiana. RNAcentral's name for it is "long non-coding RNA (NBEN_LNC029566)". The record is from RNAcentral. Lineage: Eukaryota; Viridiplantae; Streptophyta; Magnoliopsida; Solanales; Solanaceae.
UUCGCAUUCCCUUAAGAGAAUGUAAUAGCAAUAUGUGAUAAGUCUGAAAGAGGACAAAAUUAUUACCGUGAAGGUAUCAAUGGAUGUGGACGUGGCAAUAGACGGAAUUAUAAUCGUCAUCAUUGUGAUAAUGAGAAUAAUAAAGAUUCUUAAAUGGAUGUGGACGUGGCAAUAUACGAAGUUAUAAUCGUCAUCAUUGUGAUACUGAUAAUAAUAAGGAUUCUCAAAUAAUCAUUCACUAUGUAAAAGUAAUAUUUGUUAUC